UACGGGGGGGGCAAGCGUUGUUCGGAAUUACUGGGCGUAAAGGGCUUGUAGGUGGCCAACUAAGUCAGACGUGAAAUCCCUCGGCUUAACCGGGGAACUGCGUCUGAUACUGGAUGGCUUGAGUGUGGGAGAGGGAUGCGGAAUUCCAGGUGUAGCGGUGAAAUGCGUAGAUAUCGGAAGGAACAUCAGUGGCGAAAGCGGCUUCCUGGACCAGAACUGACGAUCAGGCUCGAAAGCGUGGGGAGCAAACAGG
RNAcentral lists this ribosomal RNA (253 nucleotides) under uncultured bacterium. RNAcentral's name for it is "partial 16S ribosomal RNA". It matches the Rfam family "Bacterial small subunit ribosomal RNA", at positions 524 to 776 of the family's 1533-position model. The record is from RNAcentral.